AGUGAACGCUGGCGGCAUGACACAUGCAAGUCGAACGGUAACAGGCCCGCAAGGGUGCUGACGAGUGGCGGACGGGUGAGGAAUACAUCGGAAUUUGCCCAGUCGUGGGGGAUAACGUAGGGAAACUUACGCUAAUACCGCAUACGACACCGUGUUGAAAGAUACGGGGUGAAAGCGGGGGAUCUGUAAGGACCUCGCGCGAGUGGAUGAGCCGAUGUCGGAUUAGCUAGUUGGCGGGGUAAAGGCCCACCAAGGCGACGAUCCGUAGCUGGUCUGAGAGGAUGAUCAGCCACACUGGGACUGAGACACGGCCCAGACUCCUACGGGAGGCAGCAGUGGGGAAUAUUGGACAAUGGGGGCAACCCUGAUCCAGCAAUGCCGCGUGUGUGAAGAAGGCCUUCGGGUUGUAAAGCACUUUUAUCCGGAACGAAACGCGCAGGGUGAAUAUCCUUGCGAACUGACGGUACCGGAGGAAUAAGCACCGGCUAACUUCGUGCCAGCAGCCGCGGUAAUACGAAGGGUGCAAGCGUUACUCGGAAUUACUGGGCGUAAAGGGUGCGUAGGUGGUUGUUUAAGUCUGUUGUGAAAGCCCCGGGCUCAACCUGGGAAUGGCAAUGGAUACUGGACAGCUAGAGUGCGGUAGAGGGUAGUGGAAUUCCCGGUGUAGCAGUGAAAUGCGUAGAGAUCGGGAGGAACACCAGUGGCGAAGGCGGCUACCUGGACCAGCACUGACACUGAAGCACGAAAGCGUGGGGAGCAAACAGGAUUAGAUACCCUGGUAGUCCACGCCCUAAACGAUGCGAACUGGACGUUGGGAGCAACUUGGCUCUCAGUGUCGAAGCUAACGCGUUAAGUUCGCCGCCUGGGGAGUANGGUCGCAAGACUG
This 886-nucleotide ribosomal RNA is filed under the name uncultured bacterium. RNAcentral describes it as "bacterial SSU rRNA". It matches the Rfam family "Bacterial small subunit ribosomal RNA", at positions 28 to 896 of the family's 1533-position model. The record is from RNAcentral.